CUCUGCCAAGGCAAAAUUAGAAUGUGCAGCUUCUGCAGAGAGGGCGGAUUUAACCAAGCCUCCCGCUGGCUGUCCUGCCCAGGGCCUUCCAAGUGGCUGACAGGAGGUCGAGGAGAGAGAACCCAUGGCCGGUGUCCAUGACAUUCCGGACGACAAGGACAUCGUCUCUGGGCUGGCUGCUUGCUCCCCCAUACUGGGAGUAGCUGGAGGCCGGCAGGCACCAUGCUGUCCUCCAGGCUGGCUCAGAGCAUUAUCAUGGCAAAUGUCCAGCAGACCGGAUAUGGGGUGAUCAGCUGUUUGAAGGUAAAAGGUAAGAGCCAUGAAGUCGUGUUACAAGAAAAUCUGUGUUUAUUGGGACAUUGAAGAGCCUCAGCUCAUGGAUAUGUAAGGUGAAACAGGCGACUUCCUUCACUGCCUUUCUCUGGGAGCACGAUGGGCACUAAUUACCUGCUCACGGCCAAGCUGGCACCCGGCAUGAGUUGUCAGGAGCCUCCAGCCCCUUCCUGAAGCAUGGAGCCACAAUUUCCACUUCAGGUACCUCCUCUUUCCCCUCUUGAGAAGUGAAGAGGGGUGCCUGCUCCAGUAAUUCUCAGCCCCUGCUAUUCUUGUAGCCCUGGAGAACAUCGCACCUGGAAGACACCUUAGCAGUCACCUGGCUCCAUCUUCUCUGCAAUGCAACAAUCAUUUCUCCUGUAGCAUCUUGGGCAAGGAUGAGCAGAGGGCACUGGAUUUAAACUCAGAAAGCCUUUCUGAGGCUCGGUUUUCUCAUCAGCAAAAUAUGGAUUACACUACCAGCCUCAAAAUGUUGCAGUAGGGAUUAUAUGAGACCCUAUUCCAGCACAUCUUGGGAGGAAUGCACAAAGCUAGGAGGACCGCUGAGCCACAGGGAGCAGAGUACAGACUCAUCCCCACUCACUGGGGAGACAUGCCUCUUCCACGGGCAACCAUUUGCUCCGCUUAAUAGCAUGUCUUUAAUGGAUGACAAUCCCUUAAUCCUCUUAGAAAUGAGGUAAUUCCUACAUUGUUUAGGAAGAAUGGGAUGACUAUUUCACACUUAUAUAAUAGUUUGAAUAAAUGGAGUUUGUUAUAAAUAUUAA
Molecule: long non-coding RNA, 1097 nt
Organism: Sapajus apella (tufted capuchin)
Lineage: Eukaryota; Metazoa; Chordata; Mammalia; Primates; Cebidae
Exons: 4
Source: RefSeq, a predicted model, not a curated record